Sorghum bicolor (sorghum) is the source of this 126-nucleotide long non-coding RNA. RefSeq lists it as uncharacterized. The transcript is spliced from 3 exons. The record is from RefSeq and is a predicted model, not a curated record. NCBI's taxonomy places the organism in Eukaryota, Viridiplantae, Streptophyta, Magnoliopsida, Poales, Poaceae.
GUUUUGAUCUUCAUUUCUUGGAAGGAGAUGGCUAAGAAAGGUCAAAAUACAAGGUUUGAGGUUUUGAUCUUCAUUUCUUGGAAGGAGAUGGAGGUGGCUAAGAAAGGUCAUGAUGGAGAGGUCCUC